Molecule: ribosomal RNA, 598 nt
Filed under: uncultured organism
Description: bacterial SSU rRNA
Rfam family: Bacterial small subunit ribosomal RNA
Source: RNAcentral
CACCUGACACUCAGGGACGAAAGCUAGGGGAACGAAGGGGAUUAGACACCCCAGUAGUCCUAGCUUUAGUCCGAUGGAUAUUAGGUCUAGCUCGUAUCGACCCGAUCUGUGCCGAAGCUAACGCGUUAAGUAUCCCGCUCUGGGGAGUACGCACGCAAGUCCUGUAAACCUCCAUAGGAAUAGUUCUGGGGGCCUGCACAUAGCGGUGCGAUGUAUGUGGUUUAAUUCGAUGCAACGCGAAGAACCUUACCAGGGCUAUCACAUGUCCGGAUACCCGCCUGAAAAUCUGGGAGUGACCUUCGGCGAUCCGCGAAUCACAGCCUGGUGCAUGGCGCUCGUCAGUAUCGUGAUGCGUGAAGAUCUUGGGUUAAGUCCCGUCAAUCGUAUGCGCAACCCUAGGUGCGUUAAUCUGCCAGCAGUCAGUUGUGCCACCUAUAGAGUGACGCUCGGUGACGAACCGGGAGGAAGGUGGGGAAUACGUCAAGUCAGCAUGCCCUAAGAGUUUGGGCCGACUCACGGUCACCAGAUGGUCGGAAUCAGCGGGUAAGGAACGUGCGAAGGCAAUGGCAUCGCUAGCAUAUUAGGCCUCAGAUCAGAU